This 316-nucleotide long non-coding RNA is filed under the name Rhagoletis pomonella (apple maggot). RNAcentral's name for it is "uncharacterized LOC118749583". Lineage: Eukaryota; Metazoa; Arthropoda; Insecta; Diptera; Tephritidae. The record is from RNAcentral.
AUUAGUAAAAAUUGGAGUAUAUGCCAGACGAGUAACAGCUUAACCAACUUUCAGUUGCUCGGAGCUAGUUUUGGAACGCUCCAUGAAAUAUUUUCAUGGACGGUAAAUGCAACCCUGGGUGCAUCAUUAAUGAGCUGAAAAACCAAAACAAAUAAUUAAAUAAGUGCGUGCGUCUAAAAGUUUCGGAACAAAUUGUGGAUUAAAGCCUUUCGAAAGUGAAAAAUAACGUAAAAAGGAAGAUGCCGAAAAGGUGUGUAUCCAGAUGUCCAGAACAAGGAUCCUUGUAUAAGUUUCCAUCGGAGGGAGAAAUGCCAAG